CAGGAAAAAUGGCUCCCCAAUAGCCGGCAUAGCCGGGUCUUUAUUCGCAGUUUCUGCUAUCGUUUGUCAGGGACUCUGCCAACUUUCCUCUCUACUCUUUUCUGUAUAUUCAUCAGUGAGAGAGCUGGUGUGAAAAUUCUCCAUCAUCGCAGAAAGUUCUAAUGGACAGUGCUGCUCCCAACAGAAAGAAUGGCAAAUACACAGGUCCUGAAGAGGCGGACAACAGAAGAAGUAACAAGGAGGGGCCAGUUCAGAGAGCAGCAAGAAUCUGCAUAGAAGUAAUCAUUUCUGGAAAUCCAGAUUACUUAGUGGCAUCUGCUGAAACACAGAUGAGUUAAAAUACUUGUUAUGAAGAGGGCCUGUACCAAUGAUUUUGAUCUUUCAUUAAAAAAGGAAAUUUCAAGCUCUUAGAAACAAAGAAAAAAUAAACGAGUGUUACAAGAAUGUUUUAAGCAUUCCGUAGAUGGCUCAAGAAUAGUAUAUGCAGGGCUGCCUUUUACAUUUAGGGCUGGACUGGGACAUGGUACGUAGGAAAUUGCAUGGUGAAGUGGUACAAGCAUCAGGCUCAAGAAUGAGAGUCCAGUUUGACAGACCAGAUGAAGAAGUGAUUAAGACCAUAGUUCUGGACUUAGACAAGCCUGGCUUUGUGACUUUGGACAAAUUAUUUGAUAACUGUAAGUGUAUUUAUCACUAAAAGGCAGAUAAUAAUAUUAUGUCAUACAGAUGCUCAUCCAUUGAUUCAACAAAUAUUAAUUGAGUGUCUUCCAUGUGCCAGGUACCUUUCUCCUCUAUAAAAUGGAACAGAAAACAAACAAAAAAAUAUAUAUGUAUUUUGAGACAAAGUAUUGCUCUGUUGCCCAGGCUGGAGUGCAGUGGCACGAGCUCGGCUCACUCCAACCUGCACUUCCAGUUCAAGCAAUUCUCCUCCCUCAGCUUCCCGAGUAGCUGGGAUUACAAGUGUGCACCACCACACCUAGCUAAUUUUUUUGUAUUUUAGUAGAAACGGGUCUUCACCAUGUUGCCCAGACUGGUCUCAAAGUCCUGAGCUCAGGCAUUUCACCCAUCUCAGCCUUCUAAAGUGCUAGGAUUACAGGUGUGAGCCACUACACCCAGCAAAAAAUAUCUGCCUCUAUGUACCUUACAUUCUAUUUGGACAGGCAAAGCUCAGACAAGAUUAAUAUAUGUUAAAAUGUACAGCAAAACAUAUAGUAUUUUAGAUAGUGUUAAGUGCAGUGGAGAAAAAAAAACAAAACAAUAAGGGUGGCGAGAAGAAUCAGGAUGGAGAAAAUAACUUCAUUUUAGAUGUGGAGUCCAGGAUAGGCUUCACUGACGAGGUUGAUCUGAGGAAAUAUCUGUAAGAAAAAAAGAAGCAAAAAGACCCAAGGCAGACUGAGUUGUGAGCAGACCUGUUGUAUUGGAGGAGGCUGUGGAAUGAGUGAAGGAGCCUAUUUGGAGAUGGAGUCAGAGAAGUAAGAGGGAUGAUGAUACAGGAUUUAAGAAGUCACCAUGGAAUACUAUGCAGCCAUAAAAAAGUAUGAGUUCAUGACCUUUGUAGGGACAUGGAUGAAGCUGGAAACCAUCAUUCUGAGCAAACUAUCGCAAGGACAGAAAACCAAACACCGCAUGUUCUCACUCAUAAGUGGGAAUUGAACAAUGAGAACACUGGGACACAGGGUAGGGAACAUCAUGCACCAGGGCCUGUCAUGGGGUGGGGGGAGGGGGAGGGAUAGCAUUAGGAGAAAUACCUAAUGUAAUUGAUGAGUUAAUGGGUGCAGCACACCAACAUGGCACAUGUAUACAUAUGUAACAAACCUGCACACUGUGCACAUGUACCCUAGAACUUAAAAUAUAAUAAAAAAUAAAUAAAUAAAAAUAAAUUUCUCAUAAUAAAGCAAAAAAAAGAAGUCAAAGAAA
Homo sapiens (human) is the source of this 1914-nucleotide long non-coding RNA. RefSeq lists it as uncharacterized. The transcript is spliced from 6 exons. NCBI's taxonomy places the organism in Eukaryota, Metazoa, Chordata, Mammalia, Primates, Hominidae. The record is from RefSeq and is a predicted model, not a curated record.